RNAcentral lists this ribosomal RNA (509 nucleotides) under uncultured bacterium. RNAcentral describes it as "bacterial SSU rRNA". It matches the Rfam family "Bacterial small subunit ribosomal RNA", at positions 791 to 1295 of the family's 1533-position model. The record is from RNAcentral.
UAGUCCACGCCGUAAACGAUGGGCACUAGGUGUAGAGGGUAUUGACCCCUUCUGUGCCGAAGCUAACGCAUUAAGUGCCCCGCCUGGGAAGUACGGCCGCAAGGCUAAAACUCAAAGGAAUUGACGGGGCCCGCACAAGCGGUGGAGCAUGUGGUUCAAUUCGACGCAACGCGCAGAACCUUACCUGGGUUUGACAUCCCCUGACCGCCAUGGAAACAUGGUUUUCCCUUCGGGGACAGGGUGACAGGUGCUGCAUGGCUGUCGUCAGCUCGUGUCGUGAGAUGUUGGGUUAAGUCCUGCAACGAGCGCAACCCUUGUCCAUAGUUGCCAUCAGGUUAUGCUGGGAACUCUAUGGAGACUGCCGGUGAUAAGCCGGAGGAAGGUGGGGAUGACGUCAAGUCCUCAUGGGCCCUUACAUCCAGGGGCUACACACGUACUACAAUGGUCGGUACAGUAGGUUGCAAUACCGUGAGGGUGGGAGCCAAUCCCUAAAACCGGGCCUCAGUUCA